UACGGAGGAUGCGAGCGUUAUCCGGAUUUAUUGGGUUUAAAGGGUGCGUAGGCGGAAUAUCAAGUCAGCGGUAAAAUGUCCGGGCUCAACCCGGGCCGGCCGUUGAAACUGGGUGCCUUGAGUGGGCGAGAAGUACGCGGAAUGCGUGGUGUAGCGGUGAAAUGCAUAGAUAUCACGCAGAACUCCGAUUGCGAAGGCAGCGUACCGGCGCCCAACUGACGCUGAAGCACGAAGGCGUGGGUAUCGAACAGG
Molecule: ribosomal RNA, 252 nt
Filed under: uncultured Bacteroidales bacterium
Lineage: Bacteria; Pseudomonadati; Bacteroidota; Bacteroidia; Bacteroidales
Description: partial 16S ribosomal RNA
Rfam family: Bacterial small subunit ribosomal RNA
Source: RNAcentral